AACGAACGCUGGCGGCAUGCCUAACACAUGCAAGUCGAACGAGACCUUCGGGUCUAGUGGCGCACGGGUGCGUAACGCGUGGGAACCUGCCCUUAGGUUCGGAAUAACUCCCCGAAAGGGGUGCUAAUACCGGAUAAUGUCUUCGGACCAAAGAUUUAUCGCCUUUGGAUGGGCCCGCGUUGGAUUGGCUAGUUGGUAGGGUAAAAGCCUACCAAGGCGACGAUCCAUAGCUGGUCUGAGAGGAUGAUCAGCCACACUGGGACUGAGACACGGCCCAGACUCCUACGGGAGGCAGCAGUGGGGAAUAUUGGACAAUGGAGGAAAGCCUGAUCCAGCAAUGCCGCGUGAGUGAUGAAGGCCUUAGGGUUGUAAAGCUCUUUUACCCGGGAUGAUAAUGACAGUACCGGGGGAAUAAGCUCCGGCUAACUCCGUG
RNAcentral lists this ribosomal RNA (433 nucleotides) under uncultured bacterium. RNAcentral's name for it is "partial 16S ribosomal RNA". It matches the Rfam family "Bacterial small subunit ribosomal RNA", at positions 29 to 507 of the family's 1533-position model. The record is from RNAcentral.